CGGCGGACCCGUCUGCAGGAAUGAAACUUAAACACAGGUAAUACAAAUAAUACGGUACAAUUACAUUAUGGUAAACCUAACGUUAAACUAAGUGCAUGCACUCACUUAAUAAAACGAAAGUAAAUAAAGGAUUGUGAAAAACAGAAACCGUGUGGCGAGUUAUUUUAAAUGAUAUGUAUAAAUGUACUUGGAAAUGUAUGAUAAAUGGGGUGAAUUGGGCUUAGCGCAGCGACCUGUCUGUGUGACUCGCUCUGCAGCCAUCACAGGGUGCGAGCAGCACGGUUAGACAGAACAUACGUGAGUAAGGCAAAUAGCUGUUCAUUUUUAUUCUGAGCUGUUCAAGGCAGAAGGCACAGAUGGGCAUUGUACUGGAGAAUUAUUUCAGCUUCUUCCCUCUUUGGAGCAGCAAGAGCAGACAUCUUUGGACAGUGAUCUGCUAUUUGAGGAAGUGACUGAGGCGGUGCAACAGCUUUCCACCGGUCGCGCACCUGGAAUAGAUGGACUACCUGCAGAGUUCUACAAAGAGUUUUGGGGAGUCAUUGGACAAGAUUUUUUUAACGUUUUAAGAAGCAGUUUUGAAAAAAAGACUCUUCCAAAAAGUUGUCAUCGUGCUGUUGUCCCUACUCCCAAAAAAGGGGGACCUGGGGCUGCUGAAGAACUGGCGGCCUGUUGCUGUCCUUUGUUCAGACUAUAAGAUCUUGUCCAGAUGUCUUGCCAACAAACUGAAAACUGUUUUAGGAAAGCUUAUCCACAAUGACCAAUCAUAUUGUGUACCAGAUAGAUCCAUUUAUCAUCAUCUGUUUUUAAUGUGUGAUUUGUGGGAUUUUGCCCAAGUUUAUGGGACAGAGUUUGGUUUUCUUUCCCUGGACUAAGAAAAGGCAUUUGACAGGGUGGAUCAUCAAUAUUUAAUUAAAGUACUAAAAAUGUUUGGUUUUGGGGAGUUAUACAUGUCUUGGUUAAAGUUAUUAUAUGAAGGUGCCACAUGUAUGGUAAAAACAGGGGGUAGAUUGAGUGUUCCAGUUAAGGUACAGAGGGGGAUUAGACAGGGAUGCCCCCUAUCCGGCCAGUUGUACACCUUGGCAAUAGAACCUCUACUCUGCAUGUUGCGGAGUAAACUAACAUGUUCACGGGAAACCCACUAAGGAGGCAAUUAAGUUGUCAGCCUAUGCAGAUGACAUUGCGGUCAUUAUAAAAAAUCCACAAGAUAUGCAAGCUGUACAACAGGUACUCAGUGUUUAUAAGCAAGCCUCAUCUGCGAGAGUGAACUGGGAGAAGACUGAAGCCUUAUGGUGUGGAACAUUUCAUCAGGGGGACAAUUUUGCUUUGCCACUCCUCCCUGGUAAUAUUCAAUGGGGGAGGUCAGGUUUUAAAUAUUUGGGGGUUCAUUUAGGCACAGAAGAGUACAAAAAGAAAAACUGGGAGGGUAUAGUGGAGACAGUGUGUGCCAAGUUAUCUAAAUCGAAAUGGUUGCUACCCCAGCUAUCAUAUAGGGGAAGAGUCCUGAUCAUUAAUAAUCUGGUUGCUGCCAAUUUAUGGCACAGAUUUACUGUACUGGAACCUCCAGUGGGCCUAGUUGAAGAGACACAGAAGACACUGCUUAAUUUUUUCUGGUCUGGGCACCAUUGGCUAAGGGCAGCAGUUCUCUAUCUGCCAAUCAGUGAAGGAGGCCAAGGACUGAUUGACCUCAAAUGCAGAGUGGCAGCUUUCCGCUUGCAGGCUGUCCAACGCCUGCUGUACCACAAGCACCACUACUGGAUGGAUGUUGCCUGUGCCCUGUUAAACAAGGUGGGUCGGAUGGGCCUGGAUAGGCAUUUGUUUUUAAUGACAUUGAGCAGAAUGGACUUGGCAAAACUCACCCCUUUUUACGGAGCAGUCCUACAGGUGUGGCAGAUUUUUGCUGUUUCAAGGGACGAUACCGCUACCCCUGGUUUUUGGACCCUUGAGGAGCCUGUGUUUUUUAAUCCACUACUACAUAUUGGGACACUUGACUCACCAACAGUGCGAUCUGGCCUGGUGGAGGCCGGCAUUUCCAAGAUCCGUCAUCUGCGGACAGCUGACGGGUGGCUGGCAGCGGAACAGGUGGCAGCCCUGGCGGGUUUCAAGUCUAUCCGUAUCUGUCAGAGGAUGCUGGAAGAACUCUGCACCUCACUUCCCAGACCCAUGCAGGAUUACUUGAGUGACCUAACUGGGAGAAUUUCCGAUGCCAAUGACCUGACGUUCCCCGAAAUAACUGUGGCACCUGGUUUGGGGGAUUGGCAGGAAAAGGAGGGAAUGAUCCUUUCUUUUAAAACACCUGAACUCGGUCAUUUUAGCAGAAUCAACAAAAAGGCAUUGUACAUUAUCUGCAUAAAGGUGCUGUAUCUCCAAAAUUUAUGUGACCUGCAUGAAACAAAAUGGACUGCUUUUCUUGGGUCAGGUUCUUCCCCGAAGGGUAGCUGGCAGUCUCUGUACAAAAGGCCCCUCGAAAGAAGGACAGGAGACCUUCAGUGGCGUAUUGUGCAUGGAGCGAUAGCUACGAACAGAUACAAGGCACACCUGGAUCCGUCUGAGGGGGGCAGGGAUGUCCUUUUUGCAGGGAAUCAGAAACAAUUUUUCAUAUCUUCUUAGGGUGUUCACGGUUGCAAACAAUUAUACAUUCGGUCAAAGGUUUGGUGUCUAGCUUUAGGUUUCCAAUAUUCAAACGCACUUUUUGUUUUUGGGCCAAGGUACACUGUUAAAAAAAGAGAAAAGGUGGUAUUGCUGAACUUUUUAAUAGGAAAAGCAAAAAUGUCAAUAUGGUUGACACGGCGUAACAAGGUUCAAGGCAGUGGGGGACAAGAUCCCGUUCAAAUGGUGAGAGGUCUAGUAAUGGGAAGACUUUUGUUGGAACAUGCAUACAAUGUACUAAUUGGGGAAGCUGGAAAUUUUUUUGCAAUUUGGGGAUAGAUGGGUGUAUUUGUAAACCUGACGAAGGUGAAAGUUUUGAACUAAUGGUUUGAGGUGGAAUGGAACACUGUUUUUGUAAUAUUUUACUGGUAUUUGUUUUCUUAUUUUUAUUUGUAUUUUGUUUUUUGUUUUAUGUGCUUGUUUCUGUCUUUUUAACCAUAAUUUUACCUCUAUCCCUUUCUUUUCUUUUUUGUAAAUAGUGGGGAUUUGAGGGAUUUGUCCUCUUUUUAUUUAUAAUAAAGGGAACUUAAAAGUCAAAGUCAAGUCUCACUCGCUCGCUCGCACGCACGCACGCACGCACGCACGCACA
Long non-coding RNA from Anguilla rostrata (American eel), 3235 nucleotides. RefSeq lists it as uncharacterized. The record is from RefSeq and is a predicted model, not a curated record. Lineage: Eukaryota; Metazoa; Chordata; Actinopteri; Anguilliformes; Anguillidae. The transcript has 2 exons.